UGGCUGGCCAAGAAAAAUUGGCAUCUGGCAUACCUAGGAAUCAUUCAAAAUAGUUUAAUAGGAAGGACAUUUUGAGGCCAGCCAGCAUUAUGACAUUUGUGGGUCCUACGGCAUUUCACCUUGGAAACAUUUUCCUGGGCAUCUAAAAGUAUUGUGGACCUGAGACACUGUGCUUACAGGGCCUACUGGUUUUCACUGUAUGAGACCGAGAAUGGAUUAUGGCAGUUCCUCUUACCUCCGCUGCAUACUUGACUCCAUCCACGGUGUGCUCAGAGCCAUGAUCAUCCGAAGAGCCCCAGUGAAGAUGAAACUGGCGAAGUCGGUAGGGUCCAGGGAGAGGACCCCCUCUCAGCACUGUGAUUCAGAUAAGCUUGGUCAACAGUGAAUUCAUGCUUCUUUUACAGAGCUCUACUUUAACCAAGUGCUCUUAGAGCCAAGGCUUAAUGGACAAAAUGUGGUCAGUUUGCUGGGUGGAUGGUGCCACUCCCAGGACACUGGACUCCUCACAAAAUGAAGUCUGGGGAUAUGUCAAGAUAAAUGAUUGUUCUUUUCUGUCUUUCUUAUUUUGUUUGCUUGUUUCAUUAUUAUUGAAACAUCAUUUUAACAUUUAGGAAAGCAAAA
RNAcentral lists this long non-coding RNA (621 nucleotides) under Homo sapiens (human). RNAcentral's name for it is "non-protein coding CA3-AS1:19". The record is from RNAcentral. Lineage: Eukaryota; Metazoa; Chordata; Mammalia; Primates; Hominidae.